RNAcentral lists this transfer RNA (64 nucleotides) under uncultured Vannella. Lineage: Eukaryota; Discosea; Flabellinia; Vannellidae. The record is from RNAcentral.
UUGCGAGCGCAGCCACCAGGCCGACGUGCACGAGCGCCUGAUCGUGUUGCUGGAUGAAGCGAGC